UAAGAGCCUGCCAAGGCGACGAUCGGUAGCUGGUCUGAGACGACGAUCAGCCACACUGGGAUUGAGAACGGCCCAUACUCCUACGGGGGGCAGCAGUGAGGAAUUUUCCGCAAUGGACGAAAGUCUGACGGAGCAACGCCGCGUGCAGGAGGACUCUUUUCGGAGUGUAAACUGCUUUUCUGUGGGAAGAGCAAGGACGGUACCACAGGAAGAAGCCCCCGGCUAACUACCUGCCAGCAGCCGCGGUAAUACGUAGGGGGCGAGCGUUGUCCGGAGUUUACUGGGCGUAAAGGGCCGUAGGCGGUUGCCUGCGUUUGUGGGUGACAGCCGGUCGGCUUAACUGACCGAGGGCCACGUAAGACGGCGCAGCUCGAGGGCCAGAGAAGGACACAGAACCUCCUGGUGGGAGUGAUGAAAAAG
This 420-nucleotide ribosomal RNA is filed under the name uncultured soil bacterium. RNAcentral describes it as "bacterial SSU rRNA". It matches the Rfam family "Bacterial small subunit ribosomal RNA", at positions 258 to 689 of the family's 1533-position model. The record is from RNAcentral.